This 106-nucleotide small nucleolar RNA is filed under the name Gossypium hirsutum (cotton). RNAcentral's name for it is "Plant small nucleolar RNA R71". It matches the Rfam family "Plant small nucleolar RNA R71". Rfam says of the family: R71 is a member of the C/D box family of snoRNAs containing the C (UGAUGA) and D (CUGA) box motifs. Multiple nearly identical copies of this snoRNA have been identified in Arabidopsis, and it is thought to function as a 2'-O-ribose methylation guide for 18S ribosomal RNA. The record is from Rfam by way of RNAcentral. Lineage: Eukaryota; Viridiplantae; Streptophyta; Magnoliopsida; Malvales; Malvaceae.
AAACCAUGAAGUGGGCACCUUUGGAUUAGUAUCUUAAACUUUCGCAAGCUUUGUGAAAGAUUUCUCCUUCUAAUUGCUUAAAUACAGUGAUCUCCCUCCUUAGUUG